UCAAGUUAAACGGCCGCGGUAUUAUGACCGUGCAAAGGUAGCAUAAUCAUUUGUUCCCCAAUUAGGGACUAGUAUGAAUGGCUAAACGAGGACUCAACUGUCUCUUAUUCUCAAUCAGUGAAAUUGACCUUCCAGUGAAGAGGCUGGAAUAAAACAAUAAGACGAGAAGACCCUAUGGAGCUUUAAUUAACUAGCCUAAUUAUAAUUCCUAAAACCUAAUGGAACAAAACCAUAAACAUUAGGCUAACAAUUUUGGUUGGGGUGACCUCGGAGAACAAAAAACCCUCCGAAUGAUUAUAGCACAGACAAACAAGUCAAAGCAACCCACUAUAUCUAAUUGACCCAAAAAUACUUUGACCAACGGACCAAGUUACCCUAGGGAUAACAGCGCAAUCCUAUUUAAGAGUCCAUAUCGACAAUUAGGGUUUACGACCUCGAUGUUGGAUCAGGACAUCCCAAUGGUGCAGAAGCUAUUAAAGGUUCGUUUGUUCAA
This 493-nucleotide ribosomal RNA is filed under the name Grammomys sp. RNAcentral's name for it is "partial small subunit ribosomal RNA". It matches the Rfam family "Bacterial large subunit ribosomal RNA", at positions 1918 to 2584 of the family's 2925-position model. The record is from RNAcentral. Lineage: Eukaryota; Metazoa; Chordata; Mammalia; Rodentia; Muridae.